UUAAAUUGAAGAGUUUGAUCAUGGCUCAGAUUGAACGCUGGCGGCAGGCCUAACACAUGCAAGUCGAGCGGAAACGAGUUAACUGAACCUUCGGGGAACG
Molecule: ribosomal RNA, 100 nt
Filed under: Vibrio parahaemolyticus
Lineage: Bacteria; Pseudomonadati; Pseudomonadota; Gammaproteobacteria; Vibrionales; Vibrionaceae
Description: partial 16S ribosomal RNA
Rfam family: Bacterial small subunit ribosomal RNA
Source: RNAcentral